RNAcentral lists this long non-coding RNA (2670 nucleotides) under Canis lupus familiaris (dog). RNAcentral describes it as "lncRNA (ENSCAFG00845026398.1)". The record is from RNAcentral. Lineage: Eukaryota; Metazoa; Chordata; Mammalia; Carnivora; Canidae.
UUUUUUUUUUUUUUUAGAUUUUACUUAUUUGAAAGAAAGAGAGAGAGGGAGAAGGAGCAGAGAGAGGGGCAAAGGGAGAGGGAAAAGUAGACUCCCCAUGGGGCAGGGAGCCUGACAUGGGGCUCGAUCCUGGGACUCCAGGAUCAUGACCUGAACUGAAGGCAAAUGCUUAACUGACUCAGUCACCCAGGUGCCCUGUAUAGAUCACUUUUGAAAAGAUCUAUAUGGAAGAAAAUGUAUAAGAAACUAUUAAUAGUGGUUAACUAAGGACCAGAACUGGGGGGCUGAUAGGGGGAGAGAAGAAACUGUCUUUUGAUUUUAUACCCUUCUGAUGAAUUUAACUUUCUAUUGUAUAAAGGUGUUUUGUGUGUUUUUGCUUACAUAAACAUUUUUUAAAAAGUUAAUACAGGAGGACCAGGGAUUAACCGACAAACCAAUCUGAACAUAAUGUCCCAGAAGGUAACUUUUGAGUGCACAAGAUAUUUGGACCAUGGUGGCCAAGAAGGUUGUGCAAAUAACAAGACAAUACAUUUUAAAAAGUGGAACGUGUUUCAACUGGAGAGACUCAAUAUGUAGAGGGACAACAGUGAGACCAUAUAACUUGAAAUAGAACUCAAAGUCACAACUUGCUGCAACCAGUCCAGGGAGCCAAACUACAACCUCUGUGGCAAUUGUCCCAACUCAGAUCAAUAACUGCCAGCUUCCCUAAUUUUCAUUCCUAAUUUCCAUUUAGGACUAACCAGGGAAAGCCAUAUCUGCUUCCCUCAGUAAUCACAUAUGAUGCUCUGGCUCUAGCUAGCCUGACUCCAGCUUUCCCCAAGCCAGCCAAGAGCCACCAAUCAGCACUUCCGAAGCCUUUCAUUUUCCCCACCAUCAAGCUUUUCCACUCCCCUGUCUGUGAGUCUCCUCUGCCAAAUGCAAGGGAUGGUGGCUGGCUCCCUUACUAUAGAAAGCUUGGAGAACAUGGCCUUUGCUUGUUCUCAUUUGGAUUUCCAUUUACUUCCGCAAAGACUACAGUUUGACUGUAUGAUAUUCUCAAUGGAAUAUUCCUAAAAUUAGCUUUAUAACCUAUUAUAGAAAUGAUAUAAGGAUUUCUUUAUCUGCCAGGUUUUCCAAAGACUAAGUAUGGGUUGUAUAAGACAUCCAUGAGUAUAAUUCCAGGCCAAAAAAAUUAGAGGCCAUUGGGAUCUGAAUAAUUUAGGUGAAUGAACUGUAUAGACACUUUUCUCUACUGCUGCUCUUUGAAAUCAUGCUCAUGGAGACAACAUCUUAAUUCGCCUGUUUAGCAUGGAGUUCUUCAUGAACUUUUGUUCUACCUUUGCAUUCACAACCACCUCUUGCCACAAAAAGUCCACCCAGGCUUCAAACUGGGCAUGCCUAAAAGUAAAAUCAUUUUCACCCUUCAUCCCCACCCAACUACCUUCCUCCUCUCCUAUAAACCACCUGUUCCCUCCUGAUUUGUUGAGAAUAGUUUCCAUUUCCAUCUUCCUUCCCCCGCUCUCGUGUUUUGGGUCCCCACUGCCUCUUUCCUGUUCAAACUUCCAGCCUCUUGCUCCAAAAGGAAGCAAAAGCAUCCUUUCUGGACUGCCCAUGUGUGGCUUCUAUCCUCCUUUCAAAGCCAGGUUAAAGUAACCAUCAGACCAUGGAUUUCCACUGCUUGAAAAGCUCUAAUGACCCCCUGUUGUUUAUAACAAUCCCCUUUCCCAAUCCUUUGUCCCACUGCACUUCCUCACACAGGCACAGAAACCUGAGCUCAAUAAACAGGGAUCAGUAAUUGCAAAGUUGAUGAUGAACAGCACUUUGUUCAACAAAUAUGAGAUUUAUCAGAAGGGGUCCCAGCUAAAGACCUCUAUAGCUUGGAAUCGCUUUCCUGCCAAUGAAGAUCUGGCCCAGGAGUCAUUUAGGUGCUAUCAUCCUUUAGUUAAGGAUAUGAACUGAUAAGGCUGAUGGAUAUAGGAGGAACUGAGGAUCCUUAUAUUUAGAAGGAGUUUAAUCUGCUUGCAGACCCAUAAUUUUUAAAGUCAGGAGCUCCUGAAAUCCUGAAACUAUUGCUUUUGUAAUUAAAGAGAUCUGUUUAUCUUUGCUACCAGCCCAGGAGUUUUCAGAGGGUAGGAUCAAUGUCUCACCCAUUUUUAUAUUCUCUUAUUGCCCAUGGGUAGAAUUUAAUAAAUAUUUAUUGAAAUAAUUAGGAUCCAUUCUCAUUACAUCAUACAAUAGCUAUUGUUUACUCAGCAUUUAUUACAUGCCAGGUAUUUAUUAAAAGAUGAACUCAUCUAGCAUGAAUAAUAGAUGAUAAAAUUGAAGUUCUGACCAGAUCCCUGAUUAAAUGGACAUAGAAUUCCAAAGUGAGGGGUCAAGUUGCCAUGUGGAGAUUAGCUGACAAUGUUCUGUGAGUCUAACAUGUAUGUCUUUGCCCACUUUGAGGGUAAAAGGCAUCAGAAGGCACCUAUCAUCAGGAGGCACCUAUCCUAUCACUGCCCCAAAGAGAGGAGAGAGUUAUUACAGGAUUCCUGGAACUGGGGUAUAGUGCAGAAUGUACUAGAAUAAGAACAAGGUUGACCCAUUAUUUGGUGGCAAAGUGAUAUUUUGAUGUGAGGGUGAACCUGCACUCCCAGAGUUUGCCAGAAAAGGGAUAGAAAACUAUUUCCUAUGAGUCAGAUAUGGCCACCU